RNAcentral lists this ribosomal RNA (255 nucleotides) under uncultured bacterium. RNAcentral's name for it is "partial 16S ribosomal RNA". It matches the Rfam family "Bacterial small subunit ribosomal RNA", at positions 524 to 777 of the family's 1533-position model. The record is from RNAcentral.
CACGUAGGGUGCGAGCGUUGUCCGGAAUUAUUGGGCGUAAAGAGCUCGUAGGCGGUGUGUCGCGUCGGCCGUGAAAACCUGCAGCUUAACUGUGGGCGUGCGGUCGAUACGGGCAUCACUGGAGUUCGGCAGGGGAGACUGGAAUUCCUGGUGUAGCGGUGAAAUGCGCAGAUAUCAGGAGGAACACCGGUGGCGAAGGCGGGUCUCUGGGCCGAUACUGACGUGGAGGAGCGAAAGCGUGGGGAGCGAACAGGA